This 101-nucleotide transfer RNA is filed under the name Paecilomyces variotii. RNAcentral describes it as "Byssochlamys spectabilis tRNA". It matches the Rfam family "tRNA". From Rfam's summary of the family: Transfer RNA (tRNA) molecules are approximately 80 nucleotides in length. Their secondary structure includes four short double-helical elements and three loops (D, anti-codon, and T loops). The record is from Rfam by way of RNAcentral. Lineage: Eukaryota; Fungi; Ascomycota; Eurotiomycetes; Eurotiales; Thermoascaceae.
GCCGGGCUAGCUCAAUCGGUAGAGCGUGCGGCUCUUAAUUCCACGCACAAUAUGUGCUUGUGGUCACCGCAAGGCUGCGGGUUCGACCCCCGCGUUCGGCU